This 1466-nucleotide ribosomal RNA is filed under the name Cyanobium sp. 1BB04S06. RNAcentral's name for it is "16S ribosomal RNA". It matches the Rfam family "Bacterial small subunit ribosomal RNA". The record is from RNAcentral. Lineage: Bacteria; Bacillati; Cyanobacteriota; Cyanophyceae; Synechococcales; Prochlorococcaceae.
CCUGGCUCAGGAUGAACGCUGGCGGCGUGCUUAACACAUGCAAGUCGAACGAGCCUUCGGGCUAGUGGCGGACGGGUGAGUAACGCGUGGGAAUCUGCCCUCAGGAGGGGGAUAACGGCCGGAAACGGCCGCUAAUACCCCAUAUGCCGAGAGGUGAAAUGAAUUUCGCCUGAGGAUGAGCCCGCGUCUGAUUAGCUAGUUGGUGGGGUAAUGGCCCACCAAGGCGACGAUCAGUAGCUGGUCUGAGAGGAUGAUCAGCCACACUGGGACUGAGACACGGCCCAGACUCCUACGGGAGGCAGCAGUGGGGAAUUUUCCGCAAUGGGCGAAAGCCUGACGGAGCAACGCCGCGUGAGGGAUGAAGGCCUCUGGGCUGUAAACCUCUUUUCUCAAGGAAGAAGACAUGACGGUACUUGAGGAAUAAGCCACGGCUAAUUCCGUGCCAGCAGCCGCGGUAAUACGGGAGUGGCAAGCGUUAUCCGGAAUUAUUGGGCGUAAAGCGUCCGCAGGCGGCCUUGUAAGUCUGUCGUUAAAGCGUGGAGCUUAACUCCAUUUAAGCGAUGGAAACUACAAGGCUUGAGUGUGGUAGGGGCAGAGGGAAUUCCCGGUGUAGCGGUGAAAUGCGUAGAUAUCGGGAAGAACACCAGUGGCGAAGGCGCUCUGCUGGGCCAUAACUGACGCUCAUGGACGAAAGCCAGGGGAGCGAAAGGGAUUAGAUACCCCUGUAGUCCUGGCCGUAAACGAUGAACACUAGGUGUCGGGGGAAUCGACCCCCUCGGUGUCGUAGCUAACGCGUUAAGUGUUCCGCCUGGGGAGUACGCACGCAAGUGUGAAACUCAAAGGAAUUGACGGGGGCCCGCACAAGCGGUGGAGUAUGUGGUUUAAUUCGAUGCAACGCGAAGAACCUUACCAGGGUUUGACAUCCUGCGAAUCCCUUGGAAACGAGGGAGUGCCUUCGGGAGCGCAGAGACAGGUGGUGCAUGGCUGUCGUCAGCUCGUGUCGUGAGAUGUUGGGUUAAGUCCCGCAACGAGCGCAACCCACGUCUUUAGUUGCCAGCAUUCAGUUGGGCACUCUAGAGAGACCGCCGGUGAUAAACCGGAGGAAGGUGUGGAUGACGUCAAGUCAUCAUGCCCCUUACAUCCUGGGCUACACACGUACUACAAUGCUACGGACAAAGGGUUGCAAGCUCGCGAGAGUUAGCUAAUCCCAUAAACCGUGGCUCAGUUCAGAUCGUAGGCUGCAACUCGCCUACGUGAAGGAGGAAUCGCUAGUAAUCGCAGGUCAGCAUACUGCGGUGAAUACGUUCCCGGGCCUUGUACACACCGCCCGUCACACCAUGGAAGUUGGCCAUGCCCGAAGUCGUUACUCCAACCCUUGUGGAGGAGGACGCCGAAGGUGGGGCUGAUGACUGGGGUGAAGUCGUAACAAGGUAGCCGUACCGGAAGGUGCGGCUGGAUCACCUCCU